GUCCCUGUAGCGCAAUGGAUAGCGCGUUGGACUUCUCAUCGGAAGCUCGUGGGUUUGAAUACCACUUGGGACG
This 73-nucleotide transfer RNA is filed under the name Trichonephila inaurata madagascariensis. Its description in RNAcentral is "tRNA-Arg". It matches the Rfam family "tRNA". Rfam says of the family: Transfer RNA (tRNA) molecules are approximately 80 nucleotides in length. Their secondary structure includes four short double-helical elements and three loops (D, anti-codon, and T loops). Lineage: Eukaryota; Metazoa; Arthropoda; Arachnida; Araneae; Nephilidae. The record is from RNAcentral.